RNAcentral lists this non-coding RNA (761 nucleotides) under Pongo abelii (Sumatran orangutan). The record is from RNAcentral. Lineage: Eukaryota; Metazoa; Chordata; Mammalia; Primates; Hominidae.
CUCUGUGACUGGCUUGCUUGAUAGUUAGGGUCUGAUUGCUGCCUGAGACACCAUAUCGGUACUCCUCAGAGUUGGUGAUCACAGGAUCUGGUUUGCCACUGAAAGGAAUCUUGAUGCUGACCACUUCACCUCGGAGAGCAUGAACUGCUCCCAUGCCUUCAAGAGUUUUAGAAUUUUAUGCAAAGAUGGAACUUUACCAUAGGAAGAUAUAGAAAUCGGGUUGUACUCACCAAAUGGACUCUUAAUGAUCACAACUGAGGACACUUCUAGAGGGUCACUGAUGCCGAAAAUGUUCUGAGCUGAAACCCGGAAGUAAUAGCCAGCAUUUUCUGUGAGGUUCACAAUUCUACAGGUUGUCACUGAGAUGGCUGAAGACACCAAUUGCCAUUCAGCCCCCUCCUUGGCCUCACAUUUUUCCACCACAUAGUUGGUGAUCCAGGAGCCUCCGUCAUCUGCGGGUGGUUUCCAGCUGAUCACUGCGGAGUUCUUCAAUAGAGCUUCGAUCACAAUUGGUCCUGUAGGAUGGCAUCAACUGUUCCAAAAACAUUGCUGAGCUGGACUUUGUAUUUCCCAGCAUGAGUCUUACGUUGGACAUUCUUCAUGACAAGAUGAGUAUAGUGCUCAGUGUUUUCAAUAGUAAUGUUUUCUGAGUUUUGCAAAAGUUUCUGACCAUGGAACCAAGUCAUGGCAGGUACUGGACGACCAAUGUACAUAACAUGAAGCCGAAGUGUGGAACCCACAGCUCCAUAAUAUUUCUCUUU